Molecule: long non-coding RNA, 291 nt
Organism: Homo sapiens (human)
Lineage: Eukaryota; Metazoa; Chordata; Mammalia; Primates; Hominidae
Exons: 2
Source: RefSeq, a predicted model, not a curated record
GUAAUCUGAAGAAUCAGGAAACCCAGGAAUGCACAGGGCACUCAAAAGAUCAGAAGGUCCAUGUGGAAUCUUCUUGGAACCGAAAUCGCCGGCGCAAGAAGGGCAGAUGAACAUUUUUUAAUUGAAAAGUAAUACGGUUUAGCAGCUUCCAUUUCCCUUUGAACAGAAGACUUUUUUGAAGUUUUGAUUAAUAGGGCACAUUAGUAAGAAAAUAAGAUUUAUGUGUGUGUUCUACCAUGCUGAGGUUAUAGGUAUGAGCACAGAAAAAAAAUAAAAAUAGUUGCUGCCUAU